This 775-nucleotide ribosomal RNA is filed under the name uncultured Neocallimastigales. Its description in RNAcentral is "partial large subunit ribosomal RNA". It matches the Rfam family "Eukaryotic large subunit ribosomal RNA", at positions 23 to 638 of the family's 3401-position model. Lineage: Eukaryota; Fungi; Neocallimastigomycota; Neocallimastigomycetes; Neocallimastigales. The record is from RNAcentral.
GAGACUCUGUGCGCGUGCAUAUCAAUAAGCGGAGGAAAAGAAACUAACAAGGAUUCCCCUAGUAACGGCGAGUGAAGCGGGAAGAGCUCAAAUUUGAAAUCUUAAAGGGUUUCCCUUUACGAAUUGUAGUUUAAAGAAGUGUUUUCUGUUGGAGCUUCGGUAAAAGUUCUUUGGAAUAGGACAUCAUAGAGGGUGAGAAUCCCGUAUUUGAUCGUUACUUUCCAGCUGUGUGAUACACUUUCAAAGAGUCGGAUUGUUUGGGAAUGCAGUCCAAGAUGGGUGGUAAAUUUCAUCUAAAGCUAAAUAUUGGCGAGAGACCGAUAGCGAACAAGUACCGUGAGGGAAAGAUGAAAAGAACUUUGAAAAGAGAGUUAAACAGUACGUGAAAUUGUCAAAAGGGAAGCGUUUGACACCAGUGUUGUUUAGUUGAAAAUCAAUUCAAUAAUUUUUGAUUUUAAGUAGUAUUGACUUCAUCGGCUUGCUGCUUUCUUUUCAGGAAUUAUUGAAUGCACUUUUCAGUUAACAAGUCAACAUCAAUUUCUUUUGUUGUAAAAGGGUAAGAGGAAGGUGGCUUACGCUUCGGCGUAAGUGUUUAUAGCCUUUUACCUCUGCAAUCGGAGAGAUUGAGGACAGCAGCGUAGACUCUUCGGGGUUAGAUACACUUGUGCUAAGCUAUAGCCUUGUAUAGACAACUUGUUGACUAUGCUCAGUCAUGUAGCUUACUCGCUUGUGCUAUUUUACCUACGCUUAGGAUGUUGACAGCAGUAUAGACUGU